UAAUAGUGUAUAUUAAAGUUGUUGCAGUUAAAAAGCUCGUAGUUGAAUGUUGGUGUCGAACGAGCGGUCAGCUUCGGCUGUACUGCUCUCUCGACUCCUUCCUUCUGUGGACUACGUCGCACUUUACUGUGUGGCGCUAGGACGCAGAUCGUUUACUGUGAAAAAAUUAGAGUGUUCAAAGCAGGCCGUACGCUUGAAUACAUUAGCAUGGAAUAAUGGAAUAGGACGUCGGGCCUAUUUUGUUGGUUCUAGGACCGUCGUAAUGAUUAAUAGGGACAGUUGGGGCCGUUUAUAUUCCGUAGUCAGAGGUGAAAUUCUUGGAUUUACGGAAGAUAAACUACUGCGAAGGCAUUCGGCAAGGAUGUUUUCGUUAA
Molecule: ribosomal RNA, 374 nt
Filed under: uncultured eukaryote
Lineage: Eukaryota
Description: partial 18S ribosomal RNA
Rfam family: Eukaryotic small subunit ribosomal RNA
Source: RNAcentral